This 621-nucleotide ribosomal RNA is filed under the name uncultured bacterium. RNAcentral describes it as "bacterial SSU rRNA". It matches the Rfam family "Bacterial small subunit ribosomal RNA", at positions 202 to 842 of the family's 1533-position model. The record is from RNAcentral.
GAAAACUCCGGUGGUACAGGAUGGUCCCGCGUCUGAUUAGCUUGUUGGCGGGGUAACGGCCCACCAAGGCAACGAUCAGUAGCCGGCUUGAGAGAGUGAACGGCCACAUUGGGACUGAGACACGGCCCAGACUCCUGCGGGAGGCAGCAGUGGGGAAUAUUGCACAAUGGGGGAAACCCUGAUGCAGCAAUGCCGCGUGGGUGAAGAAGUAUUUCGGUAUGUAAAGCCCUAUCAGCAGGGAAGAAAAUGACGGUACCUGACUAAGAAGCCCCGGCUAACUACGUGCCAGCAGCCGCGGUAAUACGUAGGGGGCGAGCGUUAUCCGGAUUUACUGGGUGUAAAGGGAGCGCAGGCGGCGUGGCAAGUCAGAUGUGAAAACUCGGGGCCCAACCCCGGGACUGCAUUUGAAACUGCCAUGCUGGAGUGCCGGAGAGGUAAGUGGAAUUCCUAGUGUAGCGGUGAAAUGCGUAGAUAUUAGGAGGAACACCAGUGGCGAAGGCGGCUUACUGGACGGUAACUGACGCUGAGGCUCGAAAGCGUGGGGAGCAAACAGGAUUAGAUACCCUGGUAGUCCGCGCCGUAAACGAUGAAUACCAGGUGUCGGGGCACAUAAGUGGCCCG